GUCAAGGGAUUCACAGAACAGGGCCUCUGACCUAACUUCAGGGGUCAACGGAGGCUUCCCCCAGGACAGUUGAGAACUCUGAAGGGGGAGCAGGAGUAGACACCUAGAGCGGCUUGGGUGGAGGGUGAGCAUGCACAGAUUCUAGCAGAGCAGACGGUCCUCCCCAACACGGGCAGGCAUCAGCCAAGAAGUCAAGGGCCUGAAUAGAAUAAAAAGGCGGAGGAAGGUUGAAUUCACUCCUCGACUGAUUGCUGAGCGGAAACGUUGAUCUCCUGCCCUGGGUGAUCCUGAUUCAUAGAACCUCAGAUCCAGACUGGAAUCUACACCCUCGGCUCUCUGGCUGUCAAGGCUUCCAGCAUCUUCCCUGGAUCUCCAGCGUGCAGACAGCAGACUGUGGGACUUCUCAGCCUCCAUAAUCACGUUCUGCCACACGUCGAGAAAGAAAGUGAGAAAUUUGAGAGCACGAAAGUUAAAAGGGCUUCUCAAUAAUUAGCUUAACAGGAAUUUUCACAGACUUCAUCUGCUGAAUCUUCAAACAGUCUGACCAGGUUGUCAUUAACCCCAUUUUACAGAUGAAGAAACUGAG
This 586-nucleotide long non-coding RNA is filed under the name Equus asinus (donkey). Its description in RNAcentral is "lncRNA (ENSEASG00005032590.1)". The record is from RNAcentral. Lineage: Eukaryota; Metazoa; Chordata; Mammalia; Perissodactyla; Equidae.